Molecule: non-coding RNA, 27 nt
Filed under: Cricetulus griseus (Chinese hamster)
Lineage: Eukaryota; Metazoa; Chordata; Mammalia; Rodentia; Cricetidae
Source: RNAcentral
AAAAAAAGGAGAGAAGGACAUUCCUGG